AUACGGAGGAUCCGAGCGUUAUCCGGAUUUAUUGGGUUUAAAGGGUGCGCAGGCGGCCAUUUAAGUCAGCGGUUAAAUCGUGGGGCUCAACCCCAUUCUGCCGUUGAUACUGGGUGGCUUGAUUGCGGUCGAGGUUGGCGGAAUUCGUUGUGUAGCGGUGAAAUGCAUAGAUAUGACGAAGAACACCGAUUGCGUAGGCAGCUGACCAGACCGCAAAUGACGCUCAUGCACGAAAGUGCGGGGAUCGAACAGGGUUAGAUACCCUGGUAGUCCGCACAGUAAACGAUGAAUACUUGUUUUCGGCGAUAUAAUGUCGGAGGCAAAGCGAAAGCGAUAAGUAUUCCACCUGGGGAGUACGCCGGCAACGGUGAAACUCAAAGGAAUUGACGGGG
This 392-nucleotide ribosomal RNA is filed under the name uncultured bacterium. RNAcentral's name for it is "partial 16S ribosomal RNA". It matches the Rfam family "Bacterial small subunit ribosomal RNA", at positions 523 to 918 of the family's 1533-position model. The record is from RNAcentral.